Molecule: long non-coding RNA, 2537 nt
Organism: Hylaeus anthracinus
Lineage: Eukaryota; Metazoa; Arthropoda; Insecta; Hymenoptera; Colletidae
Exons: 4
Source: RefSeq, a predicted model, not a curated record
GAAUAGAGAUAGAGAAAAUCAGGAACAAGUGCAAUUUAACCAAACAAGAGAAGCUAAAUAUAAUAGUAGGUAUAGUUAUUUAUUUACGGGACAGAGGCCAGAGUAGCUAAGGAAAGAUGAGAGACUAGACAGCCAAAGUUUGAUUAUGAAGAUAUUGUGUAGACUGUUUAAAUAAGCCGCGUAUUGUAUGAAUGUGAAGUUGAGCGAAUGAGACGAGUCCAGACGAGAAAAAGGGAGAAAGUGUAUACAGGGUGUUCCAAAAAUGUUGUAACACCUUGAAAGGGGUGGUUCGAGAGGUGAUUUGAAACAACUUUUUCCUUAGCGAAAAUCUUGUCCGAGGCUUCGUUGAGGAGAUAUUAACGGAAAACACUGAUCAAUCAGAGCGCGCUAUAACACAAUAUCAAGGUACAUCCCAAAUAACAAAAGUUUUAACAAUUCGAAUAUAGAUCUUAUAAUAACACCUCCCGAUUUAACGGGAACGGUUAAUUUUGCGGAAUCAGGAGAAUGCUUAGGGUCAGACCACCAAAUAAUAAAUCUCAGGUUAUAUACAAACGAAAAUGUAGGUUUGGAAUCAGACAGGUCCAAGAAACAUUUGAGUAACAGCAAACUAUUUAAAAACAAAGAAAGAGUGAACUGGAUGGAGUUCAGACAAAAACUGGAAAAGAAAAAACCGUAAUAAAUCAAGAAUGAGAAGGUAAAAGAACCAGAAACCAGAACCAGAAGAAAUAAACAAUACAAGAAGGAAGAAAAAUACAAAUAAAGAGGACUCAAGUCAGGACCAUAGAAAGAGGAGAAAUAUCUGGUUGGAUCAAGAAUGCGAAGAAGCAUGGAAGAAAUGGAAAGAAAGCUCAAAGACGUUAUGGAGAACGGGUAAACCCGAGGACUAUACAAUAAUGGAACAUAACAGAAUGAAAUGGUUACAGUUAAAAAAAGAAAAGAAGGAGGCUACGUGUACUGCAUUCACAGAAGAGCUGUCUAGUGAAAAAAACAGUGGAAAACUGUGGAACAAGGUAAGAAGAAUAAAGAAUAUCUACACGAAGGCCAAAUCGACGUUAAACGCCAGAAAAAGGUUGAAAUUGGAAGAAAUAGAAGUAGCAAAACUCGUGGAAAGAAACAGUAACUUGAAAAGCACUCAUAAAGAAACAAACGAACGUGAACAAAACGUCAGCCCCGAGCGACGACAAAAUAGAUUAUAUAAUAAUAAAUGAAUUGCCUUCAUUCAUGAAAAAAUUGUUAUGCUGCAUUAUAAAGGAAAGCUGGGAACAAAUAACACUACCCAAAGAGUGGAAAAUCGGUAGGAAGUGUCUACUGGAAAAACCUGGAAAAGCAGCCCUGAGACCAAUCACUUUAACUUCAUGCACAGGCAAAAUUAUAGAGAAAAUAAUAAAUACAAGACUAAAUCUUUGGGCAGAAGAAAACAAUAUCAUCGAUGAAACACAAUCCGGAUUCAGACACAAAAGAGGAACAGUUGAUAAUCUAAAUAGAAUAGUAAUGGAAAUAAAAGAUAACAGCAGAAAAAAUAAUAUCACAGCAACGGCUUACAUAGACAUAAAAGGGGCGUAUGACAAUGUCAACUUUGACAAGCUCAUACAAAUACUAAUGGAGAAGAAAUGCCCACCGAGGAUAUUAGGAUGGGUGAGCAACUAGCUAAAAGACAGGUUUAUCCAAAGAAUUAACAGUCCAGAAUACACAAACAUUAAUUUACGCGGAUGAUAUAGGAAUUAUAACAAAGGACAAAAACAUAAAGAAAACUAAGAGUAAAAUAAAGGAAAGGAAAGCAACAACUAAAUACCUUUCUAAAAAGCAGAGACCUAGAAAUAUCAGUAGACAAAACCAAAAUCACCUUCUUUGGACAACAACCUCAAGAGAAAUCAAUAAAAUUUCAGACCACACAUUAAGGAAAUGGUAGAAAAGUUCAAAAGAAGAGCCAAUAUAAUAAGUUUCUCUGCCAUGGUAAUAAGGGGGUUAAUCAGAGCCAUGCGUUGAUGUUUACGAGAGCACUGAUAUCAUCGGUUGUGGAGUACGCCUCGCCGGUGUACCUAACUUUUGAUGGAGAAAAAAUAUACAAGACACUUUAAGAAAAGCGGAAACUGCAGCCUUAAGGUCAGCGAUAGGCUACAGAAUAUCUACUCCACUUAAUGUAAUCUACAUGGAGUGUGGUUGGACUACACUACUAGACAGAGCCAUUUUUCCGGCCAGCAAAUACUGGAUACGUCAAUUCGAAAAAGGUAAAGAGAACAACCCCACGCUACAAUUAUUUAUGAAAAUCAAAGAACAAAAUGAUCAAAUCAACAAAACACACACGACUAACAAAAUCCACACCAGGCCAAACAUAUCGGAAUGUCCAUUCUACGAUAUAUGGAAAUGGAAGGAUCAAAUAUUCACCAGGGAAUUUAUUUCCGAGGGUCUAAUAAAAUGGAACAAUCUGAGAAACGGAACCACAAUUACAGGGGAAUCAAGUAAUAAGAAGUGGAAACUGGACAAUAAAACAGGUAAAUUAAUAAAUGACAAAGCAGUCCCAAUUAAUAUGAUAGAAA